ACCUGGCUUCAAGCUUUCUUUUGGCUUGCAAACCCUACCCAUGCAGACAGUAUCAUGGAAAAAAAAAAAAAAAAAAAAAAAAGGCACAUUUCUCUGCAAACCAGCGUGGGAUUUGGGAGAAAGCAGCAGAGCUGGAUCCACACCAUGCCCUGAACUGACU
Molecule: long non-coding RNA, 160 nt
Organism: Oxyura jamaicensis (ruddy duck)
Lineage: Eukaryota; Metazoa; Chordata; Aves; Anseriformes; Anatidae
Exons: 3
Source: RefSeq, a predicted model, not a curated record